UGGGGAAUUUUGCGCAAUGGGGGAAACCCUGACGCAGCAACGCCGCGUGGAGGAUGAAGCCCCUUGGGGCGUAAACUCCUUUCGACCAAGACGAUAAUGACGGUACUGGUGGAAGAAGCACCGGCUAACUCUGUGCCAG
Molecule: ribosomal RNA, 139 nt
Filed under: uncultured bacterium
Lineage: Bacteria
Description: partial 16S ribosomal RNA
Rfam family: Bacterial small subunit ribosomal RNA
Source: RNAcentral